RNAcentral lists this long non-coding RNA (245 nucleotides) under Bos taurus (domestic cattle). RNAcentral describes it as "long non-coding RNA NONBTAT001706". The record is from RNAcentral. Lineage: Eukaryota; Metazoa; Chordata; Mammalia; Artiodactyla; Bovidae.
GACUAGAUGGCAUCUGGUAUUGUUUAAUCAGCUGUGGGUCCUAUUCACAUUGUCUUGCAUAUAGUACACACAGCAGAAGGAUGUAUUUCAUGAAAAUGGAUGAUAUACCAUGAGGAACUUCAGGGAAAAGUAAUUCAGUUUCCUUUAUGGCAUAGAAAAGCCCGCUAGAAUUUUAAAUAAUCUUUACAUACCCACUUAUAAAGGUAUGAAGCUAUUUUCCUUUUUUUUUUUAAUACUUUUGAAGC